Mesocricetus auratus (golden hamster) is the source of this 701-nucleotide long non-coding RNA. RefSeq lists it as uncharacterized. NCBI's taxonomy places the organism in Eukaryota, Metazoa, Chordata, Mammalia, Rodentia, Cricetidae. The transcript is spliced from 4 exons. The record is from RefSeq and is a predicted model, not a curated record.
GCCGGGACUCCAGGCCGUCAGCGAUGACGACGCGCGGGCGCUCACCCGCGACCUUGCGGGCGGCGCAAAGGCCGCUGCGCCGCCGGAAGUGGGACGCCUGCUUCCGCUCGGCGCCUCCACCCCCACCCCCACCCCCACCCCCGGCGGGAGUCCCGGGGCUCCGCCGCUGCCGGAAGCCGCUGUGACGGUGCAGCGAGCGGAUUGAGACACCCGUGCGGCGCCUUUCCCGUCACCGCGACGUCACGCGCGCGCAGCCAGCGUGGACGCCGACGAGGGAGGUCCCGGUCGGGCCCCGUGCUCGGUUUCCGGGAACACCGAGAAACCACCUUUACCACGAAGCUUGCCAGCGCUGUCCACAGCGAGCGAGCACGAGACUGGUACCUGGAGAAAGGCCGAGUCCUGAGCACUCUAUCUACUGCCUCAGCUGCCGGCAGACAUGCCUCACCGUCCCAGUCUCGCUAUUUGGCUGCCUCUGAGUGCUGGGAUUAAAGGACUCUGUCACCACCACACCUGGUUCAAAUACAUUCAUCUUUAAGGGUAGAAGAAAGGAUUCAGAAGAACAUUUGAAAUAUCAGGGAAAGACCUCCUCGCCCUGGCAGUCCACCAUGUUCUCUUUCGCGUCCCUCCACAGGCCUGAGACAUGGCAGGAGGUAGCUCUGCCCUUAAUACCACAGCCAAGGCCGAGCAGGCCCCAAUUCCUU